RNAcentral lists this ribosomal RNA (568 nucleotides) under uncultured archaeon. RNAcentral describes it as "bacterial SSU rRNA". It matches the Rfam family "Archaeal small subunit ribosomal RNA", at positions 1 to 569 of the family's 1478-position model. The record is from RNAcentral.
UUCCGGUUGAUCCCGCCGGAAGUUACUGCUAUCGGUGUUCGCCUAAGCCAUGCGAGUCAUAUGUUCUUCGUGAACAUGGCGUACUGCUCAGUAACACGUGGAUAACCUGCCCUUGGGUCCGGCAUAACCCCGGGAAACUGGGGAUAAUUCCGGAUACCGCAUAUAUGCUGGAAUGCUUUAUGCGUCAAAUGGAUUCGUCUGCCCAAGGAUGGGUCUGCGGCCUAUCAGGUAGUAGUGGGUGUAAUGUACCUACUAGCCAACAACGGGUACGGGUUGUGAGAGCAAGAGCCCGGAGAUGGAUUCUGAGACAUGAAUCCAGGCCCUACGGGGCGCAGCAGGCGCGAAAACUUUACAAUGCGGGAAACCGUGAUAAGGGGACACCGAGUGCUAGCAUCAUAUGCUGGCUGUCCAGGUGUGUAAACUACACCUGUUAGCAAGGGCCGGGCAAGACCGGUGCCAGCCGCCGCGGUAACACCGGCGGCCCGAGUGGUGAUCGUGAUUAUUGGGUCUAAAGGGUCCGUAGCCGGUUUGGUCAGUCCUCCGGGAAAUCUGAUAGCUUAACUAUUAG